This 392-nucleotide ribosomal RNA is filed under the name uncultured bacterium. Its description in RNAcentral is "bacterial SSU rRNA". It matches the Rfam family "Bacterial small subunit ribosomal RNA", at positions 51 to 488 of the family's 1533-position model. The record is from RNAcentral.
ACACAUGCAAGUCGAACGAAGUAGCAAUACUUAGUGGCAGACGGGUGAGUAACAUGUAGGUAUCUGCCCUUUGGCCUGGAAUAACACGAGGAAACUUGUGCUAAUACCGGAUAAGUCUUUACGGAGAAAGCUUUAUGCACCAUUGGAUGAGCCUGCACUUGAUUAGUUUGUUGGUAGGGUAAUGGCCUACCAAGACUGUGAUCAAUAGCUGAUUUGAGAGGAUGAUCAGCCACAUUGGGACUGAGACACGGCCCAAACUCCUACGGGAGGCAGCAGUGGGGAAUCUUGCACAAUGGAGGAAACUCUGAUGCAGCGAUGCCGCGUGAGUGAAGAAGGCCCUUGGGUUGUAAAGCUCUUUCGUCGGGGAAGAAAAUGACUGUACCCGAAUAAGA